CUCAAUAUCAUAGAGUAAGAGAAGAGAUAGCAGCUGCUGAAGUAGAAGUUGGUUACAUUCCAUCGAAGGCUAUGCAUGCAGAUCCAUUAACCAAAGGCUUAGGGGCAAAUGAUUUUAUGAGGCAUGUGCAUAGGAUGGGUUUACGGAGGUUGACAUAGUUAUUAUUACUUUGUCUAUUGCUUAUGAAAGAUAAAUCCAUGGAUAAGUUUGCAUGCUUUGAUUUAUUGUGAAUGAUACUGCGAGAGAGAUACAUACGAAUUCAGGCCUAAAAAUGGCAAAUGGGAGAAUGAUGAAAAUAUGGCCUAUCAAGGCCUAAAUUCCAGUAGUUUCUUAUUCAGUGGGAGCGAUUGAGAGAUUAAAAUCUUGACGUCUUGCAAAAUGGAGCCCAGAUUCUUUUACCUCG
Molecule: long non-coding RNA, 403 nt
Filed under: Amborella trichopoda
Lineage: Eukaryota; Viridiplantae; Streptophyta; Magnoliopsida; Amborellales; Amborellaceae
Description: long non-coding RNA (ATRI_LNC000188)
Source: RNAcentral